GGGGGACCUUCGGGCCUCUUGCCAUCGGAUGUGCCCAGAUGGGAUUAGCUAGUAGGUGGGGUAACGGCUCACCUAGGCGACGAUCCCUAGCUGGUCUGAGAGGAUGACCAGCCACACUGGAACUGAGACACGGUCCAGACUCCUACGGGAGGCAGCAGUGGGGAAUAUUGCACAAUGGGCGCAAGCCUGAUGCAGCCAUGCCGCGUGUAUGAAGAAGGCCUUCGGGUUGUAAAGUACUUUCAGCGGGGAGGAAGGGAGUAAAGUUAAUACCUUUGCUCAUUGACGUUACCCGCAGAAGAAGCUCCGGCUAACUCCGCCCAGCAGCCGC
RNAcentral lists this ribosomal RNA (328 nucleotides) under Escherichia coli. RNAcentral describes it as "bacterial SSU rRNA". It matches the Rfam family "Bacterial small subunit ribosomal RNA", at positions 194 to 518 of the family's 1533-position model. The record is from RNAcentral. Lineage: Bacteria; Pseudomonadati; Pseudomonadota; Gammaproteobacteria; Enterobacterales; Enterobacteriaceae.